This 11343-nucleotide long non-coding RNA is filed under the name Capsicum annuum. RNAcentral's name for it is "long non-coding RNA (CANN_LNC008589)". The record is from RNAcentral. Lineage: Eukaryota; Viridiplantae; Streptophyta; Magnoliopsida; Solanales; Solanaceae.
GAAAUUAUAUCAAUUGUUGGUUAUUUAUAAUUUAUAUAAUCGUUAAAACUAUUGAUAAAAACAUAGAAAAAAAAAAGACACAAAGAAUGAUGGUAAUGAAUAUAAGAAGUGUUAGCUAUAAAAUCUCUGUUUCUGUUUUUGAGUUUACUGUUUUUGACUUGUCUGUUAUAAUAAGACCUAUUCUUUAGGAGAAAUAGGGACUGUUUUCUAGUCACUACGCUAUAGGCUUGUAAAGCGUAGAAUCUGUUUUAUUUUUUUUCUGUGUAAAAGGCUAUAAAUAGCCAGUAGUUUGCGAAUUGAAGAUACUUCCCUCUAUUCAGUUUUCUUAAUUUUCUGAGUUCUGAUUUUCAACAUUUGGUAUCAGAGCGCUUGUGAAAGGGACCUGAUUAAAAGGAGAGUCUGAAAGUGAGUGAAAGAUGACAACCACAGAGCCAUUCGUGACUCCAAAGUUUGAUGGCCAUUACGAUCAUUGGUCGAUGUUGAUGGAGAAUUUCUUAAGGAGUAAAGAGAUGUGGAAUCUGGUGCAUGAAGGGAUACCGUCACCGGCAGUAGGAAUUUCACCAGCGAGCGAGAUGCAAAGGAAGGGUGUCGAGGAAGCUAAGCUCAAGGAUCUGAAGGUCAAGAAUUUUCUGUUCCAAGCAAUUGACAGAGAGAUCUUGGAAACCAUUCUUGACAAAAGCACGUCAAAGGCGAUCUGGGAUUCGAUGAAGCAGAAAUACCAGGGAUCUACCAAGGUGAAGAGAGCACAACUGCAAGCACUAAGGAAGGAGUUUGAAAUGCUGAAUAUGAAGGAAGGAGAAAAGAUUGAUAGCUUUAUUGCACGGACUCUUACAGUGGUAAAUAAGAUGAAGGUGAAUGGUGAAAAUGUACAACCAAGCACAGUGGUGUGUAAGAUUUUAAGAUCUUUGACUCCUAAAUUCAAUUAUGUUGUCUGCUCGAUUGAGGAGUCAAAUGAUUUAGAUACCAUGACCAUGGAUGAGCUCCAUGGAAGUCUGCUUGUUCAAGAACAGAGAAUGCAGGGAUGUCUAGAGGAAGAACAAGCCUUAAGAGUCUCUUAUAAUGAUAAGCCAGGAAGAGGAAGAGGCAGAGACUCAUUUCGAGGAGGUCGAGGUAAAGACUCAUUUCAAGGAGGUCGAGGUAGAGGAAGAGGGAGGUCAUAUCAGAAUAAAGCCACAAUAGAGUGUUUCAAAUGUCAUCAGUUGGGUCACUAUCAAUAUGAAUGUCCUGAUUGGGAAAAACAAGCCAACUAUGCUGAAAAUGUAGAAGAAGAAGAGCUUUUGCUGAUGUCUUAUGUCGAUUUUUCUCAAACCAAGGGAGAAGAAGCAUGGUUUCUUGACUCUGGGUGUUCCAAUCAUAUGACUGGAAACAAAGAAUGGUUCUCAGAGCUGGAUGAAGGAUUUAAACAAACGGUGAAACUUGGUAAUGACACCAGAAUGGCAGUGGUGGCUAAAGGAAGUGUACGCUUUCAAGUGAAUGGCAUGACUCAGGUAAUUUCAAAUGUUUUUUACAUACCUGAGUUAAAGAGCAACUUGCUGAGUAUAGGACAGCUUCAGGAGAAGGGUUUAGCUAUUUUAAUUGAGCAAGGGACUUGUAAAAUUUAUCAUCCUAAAAGAGGGCUGAUUAUCCGGACUAAUAUGAGCAGAAAUAGAAUGUUUUAUCUAUUAGCUUCCAUUGAACCAACAAAGAAUUCUAUGUGUCUUCAAGCUGAAGCUUUGUCUGAGAAAGAAUCACAUUUGUGGCAUUGUCGCUUUGGCCAUUUGAGUUAUACGGGGUUGAGAACGCUCGCAUACAAUAAGAUGGUAAAUGGUGUGCCUCUGCUCAAAGUUCCAGAAAGAUUAUGUGAAGUUUGCUUGGUUGGAAAACAACACAGAGAAUCUAUACCAAGACAUAGUUCAUGGAGAGCAUCGAAGCAGCUCCAACUUGUACAUUCUGAUAUCUGUGGACCUAUCACACCAGCUUCCAACAGUAACAAAAGGUACAUCUUAAGCUUUAUUGAUGACUUCUCACGUAAGACAUGGGUUUAUUUUUUACAUGAGAAGUCAGAAGCUUUUGUUGCAUUUAAAAAUUUCAAAGCAUGUGUCGAAAAGGAAAUUAGUGCAUACAUAACCUGUUUGAGAACAGAUAGAGGAGGUGAGUUCAACUCCAAUGAAUUUGUGGAAUUCUGUAAAACUCAUGGUAUAAGCAGGCAGUUAACAGCAGCAUACACUCCACAGCAGAACGGAGUUGCUGAAAGAAAGAACAGAACAAUCAUGAACACAGUGCGCUCAAUGUUAGCUGAGAAGAAGAUUCCAAAAAUGUUCUGGCCCGAAGCUGUAAAGUGGUGUGUGCACAUUCAAAAUAGGAGUCCAACUGUGGCAGUAAAAGAAAAAACUCCAGAAGAAGCAUGGAGUGGUGUAAAGCCAACGGUGAAUUAUUUUCGGAUCUUCGGAUGUAUAGCUCAUGUUCACAUUCCAGAUCAGAAAAGGAGUAAAUUGGACUCCAAGAGUAAGAAGUGUGUGUUAUUGGGUGUUAGUGAUGAAUCCAAGGCUUAUAGACUGUACGAUCCAAUCACUAAGAAGAUUAUCAUUAGCAAUGAUGUGCUAUUUGAAGAAGAAGAGAGUUGGGAUUGGGAAAGAGCUGAAGAAGAAUUGAAGUUAGAUGUGCUAGAAGAUGAUAUAGAAAGAAUUGUUGAGCAUGCUGAGGAGGAAAAUAUUGAAAAUAUCUCAGGAAGUAGUAGCAGCUCAGAUAAUUUACCUUCAACUGACGUUAACACCGAAGGAGUUUCAGUUGAAGGGAGGGGUAAAAGGAUCAGAAAAGAACCGGUCUGGAUGGUGGAUUAUGAAACGGGUGAAGAGCUUUCAGAAGAGGUAGAUAUGCACGCAAUGAUGGUGGCAACAUCAGAUGAUCCAUUCUUAUUUGAAGAAGCAGUCAAAAGCAAGAAGUGGAGAGAGGCUAUGACAACAGAAAUUGAAGCUAUAGAGAAAAACAAGACCUGGGAACUGGUAGAUUUGCCUAAAGGUGCUAAGCCCAUUGGAGUGAAGUGGGUUUUCAAGACCAAACUUAAUGAAAAUGGGGAUGUGGAGAAACACAAGGCAAGAUUGGUAGCUAAGGGAUAUGCACAACGUUAUGGAGUAGAUUAUACUGAAGUAUUUGCACCAGUAGCAAGACUUGAUACUAUUCGAGUGAUACUUGCAGUAGCAGCACAUUGUGGAUGGCAAGUCUUUCAACUUGACGUUAAGAGUGCUUUUCUUCACGGUGAUAUCAAGGAGGAAGUAUUUGUGCAUCAGCCUGAAGGUUUCAUUAAAGAAGGAGAAGAAGGAAGGUUUUACAAAUUGAAGAAAGCAUUAUAUGGCCUCAAGCAAGCACCAAGGGCAUGGUAUAGCAAAAUUGAGGCUCAUUUCCUGCGAGAAGGCUUUGAGAAAUGUUCUAGUGAGCACACUUUAUUCACCAAGUCAAAAGGAGGUAAAAUUUUGAUAGUAAGUCUUUAUGUAGAUGACUUAAUUUUCACUGGAAGUGAUAUGAAUAUGUGCAAUGAGUUCAAAAGAUCAAUGAUGUUGGAGUUUGAUAUGUCUGAUUUAGGAAAGAUGAGACACUUUCUUGGAAUAGAAGUAUUGCAAAAUUCGAAUGGUAUUUUUAUUUGUCAGAGGAGAUAUGCUCGAGAGGUGUUAGUAAGGUUUGAAAUGGCAAGUAGCAAUCCUGUAAAAAAUCCAAUUGUACCAGGUACAAAGCUGUCAAAGGAUGAAGGAGGAACUAAAGUUGAUGCAACCUUGUUUAAACAAGCAGUUGGGAGUCUUAUGUACUUAACUGUGACUCGUCCGGACUUAAUGUAUGUUGUAAGUCUUAUUAGCAGGUACAUGUCUAGGCCAACCAUGUCACACUGGUUAGCAGCCAAGAGGAUUCUGAGGUAUGUGAAGGGGACAACUGAGCUAGGCAUUUUCUACAAAAAGGGAGAAGGAAGCUUAAAACUUUUGGCAUUCACAGACAGUGGAUAUGCUGGUGAUCUUGAUGAUAGGAGGAGCACUUCUGGAUAUGUGUUCAUGAUAGGGUCUGGAGCUGUAUCAUGGUCUUCUAAAAAACAACCAGUAGUGACUUUAUCUACCACUGAGGCCGAGUAUAUAGCAGCAGCUCUCUGUGCAUGUCAGUGUUUAUGGCUUAAGAGAAUCAUGGGAAAGAUUGGAAUGGAGAAGGAUGAAGCUACUAUAAUUCAAUGUGAUAGUAGUUCUGCCAUUCAAUUGGCUAGGAAUCCAGUUUUUCAUGGAAAGAGCAAGCAUAUUCAAGUGAGAUUUCAUUUCUUGAGAGAUUUGGUGAAUGAUGGUGUUGUGGAUUUGAGGUUUUGCAAUUCUCAAGAACAAGUUGCAGAUUUGAUGACAAAGCCAAUUAAGCUGGAGCAAUUUGAAAAACUUCGGGGUAUGAUUGGAAUGGUUAAUGCAUCAGAAGUAAGCUAAAUACAUAUGUUUUUAGCUUAAGGGAGGGAAUGUUAGCUAUAAAAUCUCUGUUUCUGUUUUUGAGUUUACUGUUUUUGACUUGUCUGUUAUAAUAAGACCUAUUCUUUAGGAGAAAUAGGGACUGUUUUCUAGUCACUACGCUAUAGGCUUGUAAAGCGUAGAAUCUGUUUUAUUUUUUUCUGUGUAAAAGGCUAUAAAUAGCCAGUAGUUUGCGAAUUGAAGAUACUUCCCUCUAUUCAGUUUUCUUAAUUUUCUGAGUUCUGAUUUUCAACAAGAAGACGACUUGAUUCAAAAUCAAAAUAAGAGAAAAAUAUAAGUAGGAAUAGAAGAAUGGUAUGUUUCCUGUCAAUUGUAAUUCAAAAUAUUGCUUAAAUAGGAUUAUAGAAAUUAUUUUUGUAUGUAAAGUAAAAUUCUAAUUAAUUUAAAAGUGUUAAAUAUUAUAAUUUAAAUCAACUGAAUUUAAAAAUAUUUAGUAUUAGGACUAUGUGUAGUUUAAAUGGGAAAAGGAUUAAGCAAUUAAAAUGUUUUUGGUCAAAAUAUUUACCCCACGUGACUUUACGAACAAAAACAUAUUUUACAUACAAUAAAUGUAUAAAAGUUUCCAUAACUUCAAAAUAUUUAAAUAUUAAAUAUUUUUGACCUAAUUCAAAUAAAGAAUUACAUGAUUCAAAUAAAGAAGAAUUUAGUACAUAAAAUUUAUUUGCACCAUAUAUUUUAGGAUACCUUAAUUACAAAUUAUUCUAAUAGUUCUUACCAUAUAUUUUUAGACUCCUUAAUUAGUAACUUUUAUCAUAUAUUUUUAGACUCCUUAAUUAGUAAAUCUUACUAUAUAUUUUUAGAUUCCUUAAUUAGUAAUUUUCCUAAUACAUAUAUUAUAGGACUUCUUAAUUUAAAUAUUAUAAUAUAAGAAUUAAUUAAUAAUUAUAAUAAAAAAGAUGAUUUUGUCUAAAGGAGAGACUUUAAUUGAACGGUAAAAACUUCAAAUCAAUUUUCAAAGGAUUUUCACAUUUUUAAUAUAUUAUAGAUUAUAAAUUAUAGAUAUAGAUUAUAAAUAUAGAUAUAGAUAUAAAUAUAGAUUUAUGGAGCCCAGGACAGAUUAGGGGCCCUUUUAAAUACCGAUAGAUGACAACUUCCUUCAAAAGUCAAGAAGAAAAAAGCAAGCACCCUUACGUAUGAACCACCUUGAAUUUUCAGCUUUAUAGCCACUUUGUAUUCAGUUUUUGCAAUUAGCUUCUUUGCUUUUUAAUAAUUGGUUAACCAAGUUCAAUCUUCAUAGUAAAAGGUUAGUUAUAAAUAGGGUUGGGCAUAUUUUGGUUUAAACCGAAAAAACAAAGCGAAAUUAAUUUUGGUUUGGUUUUUGAAUUGAUUUCGAUUUCAAAUUUUAGAAAUUCGGUUAAAUGGUUUGGUUUUCGGAUUUCAAAAAAAAAUGGAUAAAUCCAAAAUUCAAAAUUAUAUAAAUAAUAUAUUAUAAUUUAUAUACAUAUAUUUUAUUAUAUAUAUAAAUAUAAUAAUAAUAUAAUAUAAUCUGAUAUAAUAUAACAUAUAAAUACUAAAUAUAUAAAUUAUAAUCAUUUAUUUAGAAACCCUAAAUCCUAACAUAGUAACACUAACCUAAAGGCUGCAACGGGCAGCGGCGCGCAGCCAUCGACCAUUGUCAUUGCCACUCGCCUGUUCGUCAGUGUCAUCGACAGUCGCUUUUGAGUGCCGCCAUUGUGGUCACGCCAACGGCUACGACUCAUUGAGGUUGAUAUUUAUUUCAACAGCGGUCAGCGCCUUGAUUUUGUGAGUUUUUGGCGACCACUGUGAGUCUGUGGUUUUCGGUGACCACAGUGAGUUAGUGAAUAGUGAGUGUGAGUAUGUUGUUUCCAGCGAUCACUAUGACUUGCGAGUGUGAGUUUGUUGUUUUCGGCCAACGACCAGUCUUUUCAGUGAUCUGUCAGCUUCAAAAUAUGUCUGAUUCGGUAUUUUUUAAAUUUUAUUUUUUACUUAAAUUGAUAGUUUAAGGUAAUAGCAUGAGAAUUAAUAAAUAAAUUAUUUUAUUUUCACAGAUUGAAAGUAGGGUAAGCGAAGGUGUAGUGUCAAAUGAAAAUAUUCUAAUUUCAUCACCAAAUGAAGUUGAAACUGUCGUUGAAGCUGAACCUUCAAAGAAAAGAAAGGUCAUGGAACCUACGGCAAAAUGUUGGCAGUGGUUUGACAAGAUCGUCGAUGAAAAACUGAUGUUAAUAAAGCAAAAUAUAAGUAUUGUGGAAAACUUUAUGCUUCUGCUUCAAGUGCCAGUGGUACUUCAUCGAUGAAUAAUCAUAUGCUAAAGUUAUGUCCUUACCGUCCUAAUGUUCGUGUUAAAGAAAGUCAAACAAAAUUAGCUUUUCUAUCAUUUUCUGCGGGUGAAAAGGAAGGGACGUUGGGUACUUGGACAUUUGAUCAAGGGCAAAGUAGGAAAGCUUUAGCCCAAAUGAUAGUUGUUGAUAAGUUGUCGUUUAGUUUUGUUCAAAAGGAAGGUUUUAAAAAUUUCAUGAGAGUCACAACCUCAGACUUUCAUAUUUCUUCUCGUAGAACCUUAACAAGAGAUUGUUAUUAGUUCUACCAUGAAGAGAAACAAGUUUUGAAAAAGAUUGUCAAAGAAGUACGUCCGUAAGUUUGUCUUACGACAGAUACUUAGACGUCUAUACAAACGAUCAACUACAUGUGUCUAACAGCUCACUGUAUAGAUUCAAAUUGGAAAUUGCAUAAAAGAGUGAUAAAUUUCUGUCUGAUUUCUAGUCAUAGAGGUGUUGAUAUGGCUGCUUCCAUUACUAAUUGUUUGUUUGAAUGGGAUUUGGAUACCGUUUUUAGUAUCACAAUUGAUAAUGCUAGUUCCAAUGAUGUUACAGUGAUACAAUUGUCUAAACAAUUAAGUAAUUGGAGAACUAACAUAAUGGAGGGUCAACAUUUUCAUGUGAGGUGUAUGACACAUAUUCUUAAUCUUAUUGUGCAAGAUGGGCUGAAGGAAAUUGACAAGUCUGUCAAGUGAGUGACACAAGUUGUGAAGUAUGUUAAACAAUCUGCCGUGAGAGUGAAAAAGUUCAAAGAACGUUGUGAAUCUCAAUUAUAACUUGUAAGAAAUCUGUAUGUUUAGAUGUUCCUACUCGGUAGAACUCUACAUAUUUGAUGCUUGAAACAACACAACAUUUUGAGCUUGCAUUUGAAAGAUAUAGUUUCUGUGAUAAUAACUUUUUGGAUUAUCUUCGUACUUCUCCUUAUGAAGAUGGAAAUAAUGCAAGCGCCUUUACAAGUGAGGACUAGGAAAAUGUGAGGACAAUGGUAAAAUUUUUGAAAACUUUUUAAGAUCUUAUUUUGAAAAUUUCUGGUUCAGAAUAUGUUACUAACAGUGUGCACUUUGUGGAAAUUCAUGAGCUUGAUUUGAUUUUGAAAGAGAUGAUAGAAAAUAAAGAUUCUAAUCUGAGAAAAAUGGCCUCAAAUAUGAGGGAAAGGUUUAGAAAGUAUUGGGGUGAUCCAGAGAAAAUGAACAAGAAAAUGAACAAAAUGAUCUUUAUUUCAUCUGUGUUGGAUCCCCGAAACAAACUAGAAUAUGUUCCUUUUGCAAUUGUGGACAUGUUUGAAAAAAAAAAUUGGGGACAAGUUGUCUAAACCAGUGGAGACAUAUAUGAAAGUCUUGUUUGAGCAUUAUGUUAAGAAAUCAAAAAACUCUUCAUCUACUUCUUCUUAUUCUGAAAACUCUUCAUCUGUAUGAAAAUUUUCAAAGAAGAGAAAUGAGAACAAAACAACAAUUUGAGAAGCAUAAAGAAAUUAGUGGAGGUUCAAGCAAUAAAUCUGAGUUAGAAAAAUAUCUUGUUGAAAAAAUUGAGCCAGAUUCAAAAAAAUUUGAUAUAUUAGAUUGGUGAAAAGUUAAUGAGUCGAGAUUUUUCAUUCUUGUGGAGAUGAUUCGUGAUGUGUUAGCCAUUCCCAUCUCUAGUGUCGCAUCUGAAUGUGCAUUUAGCACGGGAGGGUGUGUUAUUGAUCCCUUUAGUAGUUUAUUGACUCAUAAACUUGUACAAUCUCUUAUUUGUCUUCAAGAUUGACUUAGAUGUAAACCUAUUUCAAUUAAUAUCGAAGAAGAUUUAGAGUAUCUUGAGCAACUUGAAGUUGGUAAGAAUUUUAUGAUUCUAUAUUCAUUAUAUUGAAAAUAAUUUUUUAAUUUAUAUUACAUUACUAACAAGUAUCUUAUAUUUUUUCAGAAAUGGCUUGUAAUAGAAUCGAGUCUAGCAUUGUUGAUGUGUAGUUGUCAAUAAGUAAUUGUAGAUUGAGGUUGAUCAUGGGUAAGUGUGUUUUUAGAUUCUUCUUCUUCUACUGUUCAUUUGGUUGUGGAGACAAUGGUAAGUUAUGUGACCUUAGAUUCUUAAAAUAUUAUUUCAAUUUUGUUUUCUUGUAUUUCUUGUUGCUUGUCUUCUAACUUCUGUGUUAUAUUAACUAAUAAAUCACCCAGUUUUGCGGAGCAAUUUAAGUGUCAUGUUCCUACUUUCUUCAUGAAUUCAUUUAGUUUCUAGAUCCAAAUUCUUAAACGUGCAUGUUAUAAAACUUAGGAUGUUAAGUUGGAUACUGUCUUCGCUUAAGAGUUUAUGAAGAUUGGCAGCACCUGAACCUAUACUGAGUUAUUUCCUAUUUACCGUGACUUUCUCUACUGUUCCUCUGUUCAGUGUUGUAAAAUAUGGUUCUAUAUGGAAGGCAUUAAGUCUUGUAUAGUAAAGAAGCCUUAUGGGUGCACCAAAAGAUGAUAAAAAAUUAAUGACAUGCUUAAUAUGCUGACUCACAUUAUACAUAUGCUACCUGUCCUAUUUUAGAAACAUAACACUUGAUUUGCUUGGUUCCUUUUAAUUAAUGCAUGUAUCUAGGCUUAUGAUUUAUUUUGAGAUUAAGAAGCUAGUGUUUGUUUUUUAAAAGCAUAAUAUUGUGUCCACUGUAUGCUUCUGAAAACUUAUCUACCUUAUGUCCUGUUAUGUGUGCUGUGCUGCUCUCUUGCAAGCUUAGCAUAAUACUUAUGCUUCAAGAAAUGAUCUAAAUCUAAAAAUUCAUCUACUCAAAAAUAUUAUUUUUCCGACCACCACUUAGGGGCCUAGGGCAAUAGCUUUUUUAUAUCUUGCAUCACAGAAUCUUGUGUGUUCAAUAGCCCAUUAAUCAUAAAUUCCUUUUAUGGGGUUAUUGUGUUGAUUUGAUGUGUAAAACUAGACAUUGGAGGAAAUGAAACUGGUCAUUGCCCAUUUAACCUUUUGUGUCUAUUCCUAUGUUUCCACGUGAUUAAGGUUUUCUGUCGCCUAUUUUUGACAAUCAGAUAAACAAAAACGGAGUUAAUAGAAAGUUCUAUCCAGGUGAUAUACUCUUUCACUGUGGCAUGAAGAGAUGGAUGCUGUGAACUCACUGCUGGAUAUUGUGCCCACAGCAAGUCCAAAACCAAUGAUAAGUUGAGAAUAGAAAAUUGAUUGUCCACAUGUAUUCUUCCCCUGAUACCCCUAGGGGUGGACGUUCGGUAUUCGGUUCAGUAUUUGCAAUGUUCGGAUUUGGUAAUUCGGUAAUCGAUAUUUGAACAUAGAUACCACAUACCAUACUUAUAAAUAUCGGUUCGGUAAUUCGGUAAUCGAUAAAUUAAAUUUCGGUACGGUAUUUGGUAAUACCAUAUUAAAGUUGGAUAUGUGCAAAUGUACGUUUAAACUUCAAAGAGUAUAUUUAAUAGAAAUCCUAUUUAGUAUUCUUUUUGUUGAUUUUUACAAAGAUAUUACCAAGGUUCAAGAGAUUCUUUGAGAUGAUUAAUACUAUUGUCUAUUGGGUUGGGUUAGACACACACACACACAUAUAUAUAUAUAUAUUCGAUAUUCGAUAAAUACCGAAUAUCAAACAGUGUUAAUAUCUUGUACCAAACCCAAUCCCGAAUACCGAAAUGUUGAAAUUUUACUCCCAAAUACCAUACCAAAUACCAAAUUAUCGAAUAUCAGUUACCAAAUUUUUUGAUUCAGUUCGGUAAUUCGAUUUUCGGUAUUUUAUGCUCAGCCCUAAAUAUGCCAGUACUGUCUCCCUGGUGUGGAUUCUCUAUUCAUGCCCUCCCUUUAUCUUCUUGACCUUUAUAUACUAUUAAGGCUGACAAUUUUAUUUAUGUAAUGUCAUAUUUACUUCAAAAAAUUUAUUUCUUCACUCUUUCAAAACAGUAAAAAGAUGGGACUUUUUCUUCUGUGAUAGCUAUUUUAUGGACUGUUUUUAUGCUAUUUCAAUAAUUUUGUGAAUUGUUUAUUCAAACUUAUGCAUAAUGUUGUUAUUUAUUAUGUUAAACUUAUUGUUAUUCAUGCCUGUUGAAUUAAUUAUAUUUGGGAAUGAAAAAUAGGUUUGAAAAGAAAUUAUUUUUCUAGAAAAAUCAUCAAUUUUAAUUAAUGCUCACUAUUUUAAUCUUCAAAAUCGAAAUAAAAAUCCAAAAUAACCAAACCAAAUUUAUAAAAAUCAAACCGAAUCGUAUUUAUUUUCGUUUGGUUAUGGUUGUCAUUUUCGUCAACUCAAAAAUCUUAAAUCAAAUCGAUAUUCAACAAUCAAACGAAUAAACUGAAUGCCCACUCAUAGUCAUAGGCCUGCUCGACAAACGGAUUUUCAAGUGGCUAUAAAAAUCAUCACUCAAUUUGAACUGAAAAAUGAAAGACAUAUAUAAAUAGAUAUAUAUCUUAUGGUCUCAAACAGGCAACUAUAUACCCCAAACACCCCAACUUUGAGAAUACUAUCUUAAACGAACUCCCUUAAAGAUGUCUAGAUGAUGCAUUUUUUAAUAUAAGGUGUAGGUGAGAUGCACUUGUGUCAAGAUGGUCAAAAUAAAAGUUGGAGAUGGUUAGUUAACAAUUGAGGCUAAGUUAAAAUGCAUAUAUAUGUUUGCUGCCCCUCCCCCCCUCCAAAAAAAAAACGGAAAGAAGAA